Non-coding RNA from Ixodes scapularis (black-legged tick), 73 nucleotides. The record is from Rfam. NCBI's taxonomy places the organism in Eukaryota, Metazoa, Arthropoda, Arachnida, Ixodida, Ixodidae.
GGUGGAGUGGUGUAGAGGUUAGCACACCCGGCCGGAGAUUGGGAGGCGCAGAGUUCAAAUCGGGGCUCCGCCG